Molecule: ribosomal RNA, 425 nt
Filed under: uncultured bacterium
Lineage: Bacteria
Description: bacterial SSU rRNA
Rfam family: Bacterial small subunit ribosomal RNA
Source: RNAcentral
GGGGAAUUUUGGACAAUGGGGGCAACCCUGAUCCAGCCAUGCCGCGUGAGUGAAGAAGGCCUUCGGGUUGUAAAGCUCUUUCGGCCGGGAAGAAAUCGCAUGGGUGAAUACCCUGUGUGGAUGACGGUACCGGAACAAGAAGCACCGGCUAACUACGUGCCAGCAGCCGCGGUAAUACGUAGGGUGCGAGCGUUAAUCGGAAUUACUGGGCGUAAAGCGUGCGCAGGCGGUUUGGUAAGACAGGCGUGAAAUCCCCGGGCUUAAGCUGGGAACUGCGCUUGUGACUGCCAGGCUAGAGUACGGCAGAGGGGGGUGGAAUUCCACGUGUAGCAGUGAAAUGCGUAGAGAUCUGGAGGAAUACCGGUGGCGAAGGCGGCCCCCUGGACGAAGACUGACGCUCAGGUGCGAAAGCGUGGGGAGCAAAC